Molecule: ribosomal RNA, 461 nt
Filed under: uncultured bacterium
Lineage: Bacteria
Description: bacterial SSU rRNA
Rfam family: Bacterial small subunit ribosomal RNA
Source: RNAcentral
GGGCGCAAGCCUGACGGAGCAACGCCGCGUGAGGGAAGAAGGCCUCUGGGCUGUAAACCUCUUUUCUCAAGGAAGAAGAUCUGACGGUACUUGAGGAAUAAGCCNCGGCUAAUUCNGUGCCAGCAGCCGCGGUAAUACGGGAGUGGCAAGCGUUAUCCGGAAUUAUUGGGCGUAAAGCGUCCGCAGGCGGCCUNGAAAGUCUGUCGUUAAAGCGUGGAGCUUAACUCCAUUUAAGCGGUGGAAACUACGAGGCUAGAGUGUGGUAGGGGCAGAGGGAAUUCCCGGUGUAGCGGUGAAAUGCGUAGAUAUCGGGAAGAACACCAGUGGNGAAGGCGCUCUGCUGGGCCAUAACUGACGCUCANGGACGAAAGCCAGGGGAGCGAAAGGGAUUAGAUACCCCNGUAGUCCUGGCCGUAAACGAUGAACACUAGGUGUCGGGGGAAUCGACCCCCUCGGUGUCG